GACGAACCGUGCGAACGUUGUUCGGAAUCACUGGGCUUAAAGGGCGCGUAGGCGGGUUGUCAAGUCCGGGGUGAAAGCCCCCAGCUCAACUGGGGAAGUGCCUUGGAUACUGGGGAACCUCGAGGGAGGUAGGGGCGUGCGGAACUUCCGGUGGAGCGGUGAAAUGCGUAGAUAUCGGAAGGAACACCGGUGGCGAAAGCGGCGCGCUGGACCUCUUCUGACGCUGAGGCGCGAAAGCCCAGGGGAGCAAACGGG
This 255-nucleotide ribosomal RNA is filed under the name uncultured bacterium. RNAcentral describes it as "partial 16S ribosomal RNA". It matches the Rfam family "Bacterial small subunit ribosomal RNA", at positions 524 to 776 of the family's 1533-position model. The record is from RNAcentral.